This 397-nucleotide ribosomal RNA is filed under the name uncultured bacterium. Its description in RNAcentral is "partial 16S ribosomal RNA". It matches the Rfam family "Bacterial small subunit ribosomal RNA", at positions 523 to 918 of the family's 1533-position model. The record is from RNAcentral.
AUACGUAGGGGGCGAGCGUUGUCCGGAAUGAUUGGGCGUAAAGGGCGCGUAGGCGGCCCGGUAAGUCUGGAGUGAAAGUCCUGUUUUUAAGAUGGGAAUUGCUUUGGAUACUGUCGGGCUUGAGUGCAGGAGAGGUAAGUGGAAUUCCCAGUGUAGCGGUGAAAUGCGUAGAGAUUGGGAGGAACACCAGUGGCGAAGGCGACUUACUGGACUGUAACUGACGCUGAGGCGCGAAAGUGUGGGGAGCAAACAGGAUUAGAGACCCUGGUAGUCCACACUGUAAACGAUGAAUGCUAGGUGUAGGGGGUAUCGACCCCUUCUGUGCCGCAGGCAACACAAUAAGCAUUCCGCCUGGGGAGUACGGCAGCAAGGUUGAAACUUAAAGGAAUUGACGGGG